This is a long non-coding RNA of Monodelphis domestica (gray short-tailed opossum), 434 nucleotides long. RefSeq lists it as uncharacterized. The record is from RefSeq and is a predicted model, not a curated record. NCBI's taxonomy places the organism in Eukaryota, Metazoa, Chordata, Mammalia, Didelphimorphia, Didelphidae.
GUUUGCUAUUGUAAUUAAUUGGGUAUUGAGAAUUUUGGGGAUAUUGAUAACUACAUAUUUGUAAUACUGUUCUUUAAAAAUGAAAAAUGUUACCUUGUUCAAUUCAUUUGCUUUCACUCACAGUGGAAUAUGGCCAGAUAUGAAGAGGAAAUGGAUCUCAUUUUUGAAUUUUAGGUAAAGAAAGAUGAUACCUCUCUGAAUCCAGAAACUGAACUGUUGGAGAAGACACCAUGAAGAAGCCUCCAGACCACAAGCUGCACAAAAAUGAAGUUUGGAGAAUUUUUGGAUAAAAAAAAGGCAAAAUAUGAUAAAAGUUGAUACCCAAGACAAACAAGGAAACAAUAAGAAUGCAUCUAUGUACCUUCAAUGAGCCUCAGAAAAACCUCAUUCCAAGGAACCAAAAAAAAAAAAAGAAAAGAAAUCCCCGGAUAUGA